CAGCAUAUGAAAAUACAUGUAGUUCUGACAGAUUUACUUUUAUACCAAAUAAUGCUGAGCUAAUUAAAGAAGACAUAAAUAGCUGAAGGAAUAUCUCACACUCCUGGAUCAGUUUUUCAAAAUAAGAUGUCAAUUUUCUGCCAAACUUUCUAUAUAGAUUCCAUACAAUCCCAAAGCUCUGAUGAGCCAGUAUUGUGUUCUUGUAGAAAUUUACAACCUCAUUCCAAAAUUUGUAUGGAAAUACAAAAGCCACAGUGAAAACCACUUUGAAAGAAAGCUGGAGAAAACAGUCUGACUCCAUAGUAACAUAUUUAUCAACAACUGUAAAAUAUUGUUACAAUAACAUAUUGAUCAAUGGAAUAUGCAGGUACACAAUAAACUAGAAUAGAGUCCAGAAAUAGAUUAAGAUAUACAUGCCCAAUUCAUUUUUUAUAAAGUGUCAGGGUAGUUUAACAAGGAUAGGACAUACUUUUCAACAAAUAGUGCUAGAACUAGACAGCCAUAUGCAAAAUAAAAUCACCAUCAUCUUGCUCUUCUUAUACAAAGUUAUGCAAAAAGUUAAUUACAAAUGGAUUAUAAAUCUAACUGUAAGAGCUAAAACUAUAAAACUCCUAAAAGAAAAUAUAAAGUCUUAGUAACCUUCAUUUGGGCAGUUUCUUAAAUUCAAUAUUAGUAUGAACUUUAAAAGGGAGUAAGACAGCCUUUGUGAAAAAUUUAAAACUUUUGCUUUCAAACAAUGCUUUUGAAAAAUGAAACAGGGUGAAGGAUGUAACUCAAUGAUACAUUUUUAACUAGCAUGUGUGAGGUCCUAUGUUGGAUCCACUUCACCACACACACACACACACACACACACACACAAAGUGUGGCAGAGUACACUCAGUACAUUUGCAGCCCAGGGCUCAAUGUCCAGCACCAAAAAAAAAAAGACAGUUUUUAUCUUUCAGAUUGAGAGAAUGUGUUUGCAAAACAUACUACCUGACAAAGAAUUUUUAUCUAGAGAAUAUAAAGAACCUUAUUACUCAAGAAAAUAAUUUUUAAAAUAUGGUGAAAAGACAUGAAAUAACACUAUACCAAGACAGAUACAGAGUAAAGAAGCACAUAAAAUGAUGUUCAGUAUUAUUAGUCUUUAAAGAAAUACGAAUUAAGAAGCCACCCAGACACCAGUGGCUGGGCAGCAGACUCCAGCUAGAUGCCUGCUGGGACAAUAGUGGUGAGGAUGCACAGACCUCAGGCAGGGUCCCACCCAGACACCACCAACUUGGGCAUGUAGGCGCCAGCCAAAGGCCCAUCUGGAAAACAGCUGUGCAGGCUUGCAGACCUAGCCAAAGACCUGGCAAGAUACCAUUGGUAAGUGUACACAGGCUCCAGCUAGAAGCCUGCAGGGACAACAGCCCAGUGCGGGGUUCCAGAAGCCAUCAUUCUGAAACAGGUAUUGGCAUAGUGGUGACCAGCAGAGAGGCCUCUCUGAGGCUUGCUGAGAAUUAAAGCCCACUGGGAUAGCAGUCACCUCAAUAAAGGCACAGAAGACUGCAUUAGUUGAAUGAGAAGAUGCCUAAACAAGGCUCAAAACCAGACUUCCAGAUCACCAAAGGCAACCUCAAGGGGCAAUGAGAUAAAACAAUCUGAAACUCAACCACGUGGACUCUAAACUAGCAAUGACAGGGGAUCUGGAAAAAAUAAAAUCAGAAAUAAUUUCUCAGGGGCCGGGGAUUUAGUUCAGUGGUUUUGCCGCCUGCUGCGCAAGCGCAAGGACCCAAGUUCAAUCCCCGGUACCAAAAAAAGAAAAAUAAUUUCUCAGACAACAGAUAUAAUGUCUAUAGGGAAAGACAUGAUUAACAACUCUGGAGCAGACACAGAUAAAAAAAAUAACAGAGGAGCUGAGAAAAUAAUGGCAUCCCAGCAUAGGAAACAAAUGGAAUCCAUAAAACAGAUGCAAACAGAUAUCCAAGAGAUUAAAAACUCCACUGAAAGUUUAUACAGCAGAAUGACCCAAUGUGAGGACAGAGUAUCAGAUAUAGAAGACAGGACUGCAAUUAGUGACCAGGAAAAGAAAGAUUUCUUAAAAAGACCAAGGGACCAUAAGAAAUUGAUCCAGCACCUGCUAGAUGAUGCAAAGAAUAACAUAAGACUGAUCAGUCAAUGAAGAAACAGGAGAGAGUGCAAAUAACAUAAAAAAAUUGCUCAAAGGGCUGAGGAUUUAGCUCAGUGGUUUCACCACUUGCUGUGCAAGCACAAGGACCCGAGUUUGAUCCCCAGUACCCCCCGAAAAAAAAUGCUCAAAGAAGUACUGGCAGAAAACUUCCUAAGCAAGGGAAAAGAAUUUGACAUAUAGAUAACUGAGGCAUGAUCCAACUAGCAAUGAUCAAACACAAUCUACACAGAGACAUAUAAUAGUCAAGAUUCCAGAAACCCAACUGAAGAACAAACUUCUACAAGCAGUUAAAAGAAAAAAAAAACAAAUCACAAAGGAAAGCCCAUCAGAAUCACAGCAGACUUCUCAACACAAACCCUCAAGGCAAGAAGAGCCUGGAGUGAAGUAUUUCAAGCCAGAUUAAUGUACCCUACAAAACUAUCUUUCAAAAUCGAUGGAAAAGGUACUUUCAUGACAAAGAGGAACUUCAUGAAUACCAAACCAGCACUUGAAAAAGUUUUAAACAGUAUCUUAGGAAAUGACAAUGAGGGUCACAACCCCAAGAAACCCAGCAGAAUGAAUCCAUCACACAUGAAAAGAAAUUAAACGCAAAGAGG
Molecule: long non-coding RNA, 2748 nt
Filed under: Heterocephalus glaber (naked mole-rat)
Lineage: Eukaryota; Metazoa; Chordata; Mammalia; Rodentia; Bathyergidae
Description: lncRNA (ENSHGLG00100041690.1)
Source: RNAcentral